UACGUAGGGUGCAAGCGUUAAUCGGAAUGACUGGGCGUAAAGGGUGCGCAGGCGGUUUGUUAAGACGGGUGUGAAAGCCCCGGGCUCAACCUGGGAAUAGCAUACGUGACUGGCAAACUAGAAUAUGGCAGAGGGAGGUGGAAUUCCAUGUGUAGCAGUGAAAUGCGUAGAGAUGUGGAGGAACACCGAUGGCGAAGGCAGCCUCCUGGGCCAAUAUUGACGCUCAGGCACGAAAGCGUGGGGAGCAAACAGG
RNAcentral lists this ribosomal RNA (253 nucleotides) under uncultured bacterium. RNAcentral describes it as "partial 16S ribosomal RNA". It matches the Rfam family "Bacterial small subunit ribosomal RNA", at positions 524 to 776 of the family's 1533-position model. The record is from RNAcentral.